Molecule: long non-coding RNA, 618 nt
Organism: Bactrocera neohumeralis
Lineage: Eukaryota; Metazoa; Arthropoda; Insecta; Diptera; Tephritidae
Exons: 2
Source: RefSeq, a predicted model, not a curated record
CAUUAGUUUUAGGCUCGCAUACAAUAGGGGUAUUCGCUUGCUUUUGCAAGAUUGCAGAUGGCAAAAAUGCUAUACCGAAAUAUACAAGGGCACGAGAGCACCCAUUGCAGAAUCUAGUGAUAUAUGAACGGCUGAUUCGUUCAAUUUAUUGUGAAUGACUAUUAUGCAUGGCUAUUGUGAAUUGGAGCACCUUCUGCAUAAAUUGUUAACAAAAAAACUGUAACAAAUCAUUAUAAUUUAAAUAGAAAUUAUAAAAUCUAUUUGUAACUAAAAUAAAAUAAUUAGGGUAAAAUUUAGAAUAGCAUCCCCGGAUUUCGGGGAUAAAAUGGGUAUCAGUGGAAAGGUGGCGUUCUCCAGAUCACGAAAAUAUAUACAUUUAGUUGCCGCUGACUUAUAGUUUUAAAGAUAUUUGCAUUUAAAGUUGAAAAAUUGACAACUUUUACAUUGAUAAUUUGUGUAUUGUGAGUAACUUUUUCACUUAUAUUGUGCACUUUUCACUUACUAACACUUCACUAUAACGUUUCGGUAUAUUCAUUUUUUUAAUAUUUGUUGUAAAUAAAGCUUUAUUUUAAUUAUUUUAUUUUAGUUACAAUUCUCUGCAUUUGCACAAUAAGAAAA